GGGGCCGCUGACAAGAGUGGCAGAAGCAGGUUUCCACGCGAGCUCGUUCCUCUGCGUUCCGGCAGCCCUGCGUGAGCGUUCCGAGACCUCGCCCCCCACUUCAUGGCUUUUCAAAGAUCUAGAGUAAACUAAAAAAGAAAAAGAUGUUGAAGAACAGUUUUCAUGUUUGGAGUAGCUGAGUAAGGAGCUGUUUUGUGCUUAUAAAAGGACAAGGCUCCUCUGUGGAGACAUAUCUGGCUGGAGGGCUGCAGCAGGAAAUGCAAGAUGAGCUGGAACAUCUUGGUGUAAGGAAGUAAGGAAGUGCUCAGAGAAAAAAAUCCAUGUUGGUAGGAGCCUGUCAGAGGGCACUGGAGCCCACUGAAGCUCCCAUCAGCCAAAGCUAGAAUAGUGUGGGCAAGAAAAUACUGGAGCCGUGGAUUACAGCCCCUUGGACCAAGUGAUACCAUGGGCCCACCCUGAGAUACAGAAAUUACUGAAUGAGGCAUUACCUCGGGGAGAGGAAACGGCCUCCUGCGGGAGAGUCCUGAAUCAAUUCUGUAGGUAUUCCAGCUGAAGGAAGGGGAGCAUAACUCCCCCCUCCCUAAGUAUAGACUGGGAAAGGCGACUUCCUUCUAAAGAAUACAACAGAGAAAGGGAAUUUAAGUUCUCUACAGUGGAGAAACCCGGCACAGGUCCUCUCAGCCAGGUGAUGAAGGUUGACAUGAGCAAUGACGACGUGCUGCUGGCAGUGUGUCCCCUUGAAGCCCUGAGAGGAGAAGGGUAUUUACAUCUGUGAUCUUCCUCCCCACCCCCAGUUCCAGUCUAAUCAUGAGGAAAAUGCCAGGAGAGGGGCAUUGUACAAGAUACCCGGCCAGUCGUCCUCAGAACUGUCAAGGUCAUUGACACCAAGAUAAGCCUUAUCUCCAUAAAUCUGGAAGAAAAAAAAAACACAAAGACACAAACAACAAAACAAGGUAAGUCUGAGGAACUAUCCCAGCCAAGAGGAGACAUGACUGCUGAAUGUAAUAGGGGUUCCUAUAGAGAAUCCUGGAACAGAAAAAGGACAUUAGGUAAAAACUAAGGAAAUUUGAAUUGUAUGGGUUAUAGUUAAUAACAAUACAUCAAAAUACAUUCAUUAAUUGUAACAAAUGCACUAUCUCAAUAUAAGACGCCAACAGGGAAAACUGGGGAUGGGGAGAGAGGGGAUAUGGGAGCUCUCUACUGCUCAGUGUCUGUGUAAAUCUAAAACUAUUCUAAAAAAUAAAGUCUACUCAUUUUUUAAAACCUCACUACUUGUACACUUAAAAAAAAGAAAAAGUACAAAGUCUCUAAUCAGCAAAGCUAGGGUCCCGUGAGAUUUUUCCGUACAGGAAGGUGGAACCAAUUGCAAAGUUUUUUUAAUCUAUGCCUCUCCUAGACAAUUCUGGUUCAAAGCUAUUUAAAAAAAA
Molecule: non-coding RNA, 1427 nt
Organism: Vicugna pacos (alpaca)
Lineage: Eukaryota; Metazoa; Chordata; Mammalia; Artiodactyla; Camelidae
Source: RefSeq, a predicted model, not a curated record